CGUGUAGGCGGCCAGGUAAGUCAGAUGUGAAAACCCUUGGCUUAACCAAGGAAGGGCAUUUGAAACUGUCUGGCUUGAGUACGGGAGGGGGAAGUGGAAUUCCCGGUGUAGAGGUGAAAUUCGUAGAUAUCGGGAGGAACACCGGUGGCGAAGGCGGCUUCCUGGACCGAUACUGACGCUGAGACGCGAAAGCGUGGGGAGCAAACAGGAUUAGAUACCCUGGUAGUCCACGCCGUAAACUUUGGGCACUUGGUGUUGCGGGUAUUGACCCCUGCAGUGCCGAAGCUAACGCAUUAAGUGCCCCGCCUGGGGAGUACGGUCGCAAGGCUAAA
This 332-nucleotide ribosomal RNA is filed under the name uncultured bacterium. RNAcentral's name for it is "bacterial SSU rRNA". It matches the Rfam family "Bacterial small subunit ribosomal RNA", at positions 568 to 898 of the family's 1533-position model. The record is from RNAcentral.